This 1152-nucleotide long non-coding RNA is filed under the name Heterocephalus glaber (naked mole-rat). RNAcentral describes it as "lncRNA (ENSHGLG00000037281.1)". Lineage: Eukaryota; Metazoa; Chordata; Mammalia; Rodentia; Bathyergidae. The record is from RNAcentral.
CCUGUAGUGCUUUCUUCUUACUAAGAUCGCUUGGCAACGUUUUUAUGCUGCCUGGAGCUCACUGCCACCCUUUAUAGAUACACACUGCUGAUCUCCAACCCCCAACAUGCCACUCAGGGAAGGGCAAUCCUAGCUUCCUCUUCAUAGGCCUUCAGUGCAAAACCAAAUGCACCUCAACAGAAAUAAAUGGAGUAAAUGAGGUCAGUGGUGACUCAUUCUUAGAACAAAGGAUAUGACAGGUGGAAAGCCAGAGGGUGAGCAGAAGAUAUCGAGGAAAAGAACCCUUUGGAAAACAGGAUUCCACUCAAAUUCAACUAAAACGAUGUUCUGAAUCCAAAGGUCCUGAGUCGCACGGAACAUGCUGAAUCAGCCCGCUGCAGAAAGGCAGGUCUGUGCACGCCCUACCACGGUCCUGAGUCACGCGGAAGACGCCGAAUCACCCCACUGCAGACAGGCAGGUCUGCCCGCACCCUACCGAGGUCCCCAGUUGCGCAGAACACAAGCCGAAUGAGCCUGCUGCAGACAGGCAGGUCUGUGCACGCCCUACCGAGGUCCUGAGUCGCGCGGAAGACACCAAAUCACCCCGCUGCAGAAAGGCAGCCACCUGAUUCCACACUACAAAGACGCAGAGGACACCAGACCACCAGACCAAGGUGCCUGUAACCAGCAAUGGAGUUUAGUGCUCUUCCAAAGGCAUCAACAGCCUGAGCACACUUCCUGUCUGUGGGCCCUCUCAUGUCACCCAUCGUCCCCGUUAGUGUGAUUGGCACUGCCUGAUGAUCACAUCUGCGUCACACAUCCUGUAGACCAUGUCCACAGUGGAAGCCGGGGCCCAUUUGACAGCAAGAGUCUACGCAGUCAUGAAGAUCUCCUUUGGUCCUAAUUAAAUGUGUCCUCUCUGAAAUAUGUGCCUGACAUUGAAAGUCUAGAGAUCAUGCUUUUCAACAAAGAAGUUGAAUUUCUCUGUCUUCUAUCCACUCCCUAUCAAUUACACAAUUUCCCGAGUUAUACAUCUUUUUCUUCUUUCCCCAAAUGUCCUUUUUGUAAUUUGUAGUGAUUAGUGAGGCCUACAUUUUAAAUUAACCCUCAUUUUGAUCUCUAAACAAGAUCAUGCUGUUUUUUUUGCAUGAAUCCUCAUCAGUCCAAGGACUC